This 240-nucleotide long non-coding RNA is filed under the name Medicago truncatula (barrel medic). RNAcentral describes it as "long non-coding RNA (MTRU_LNC002216)". The record is from RNAcentral. Lineage: Eukaryota; Viridiplantae; Streptophyta; Magnoliopsida; Fabales; Fabaceae.
AUAAAAAAUAACAUAACAACUAUUAUAAUAUCUUAUUCCUUAAAGUUAACCCGAACGCAAAAUUUUGCCCAAGAUUUAACCUAACUUCUUUGCUUAAUUUUACUGUAUUAACCCUAUUUAAUUUAAUCAAAAUGUUAACGUUAAUUGUUAGGGAAAUCAAAAUAAACAAAUCACUUCUAAUUUUUCUCCUUAAUUUUACUAAACAAAUUAUAUUAACCCUAGAUUUAAUUUAUGCAAAAU